UAGGGAAUCUUCGGCAAUGGACGGAAGUCUGACCGAGCAACGCCGCGUGAGUGAAGAAGGUUUUCGGAUCGUAAAGCUCUGUUGUAAGAGAAGAACGAGUGUGAGAGUGGAAAGUUCACACUGUGACGGUAUCUUACCAGAAAGGGACGGCUAACUACGUGCCAGCAGCCGCGGUAAUACGUAGGUCCCGAGCGUUGUCCGGAUUUAUUGGGCGUAAAGCGAGCGCAGGCGGUUAGAUAAGCCUGAAGUUAAAGGCUGUGGCUUAACCAUAGUACGCUUUGGAAACUGUUUAACUUGAGUGCAAGAGGGGAGAGUGGAAUUCCAUGUGUAGCGGUGAAAUGCGUAGAUAUAUGGAGGAACACCGGUGGCGAAAGCGGCUCUCUGGCUUGUAACUGACGCUGAGGCUCGAAAGCGUGGGGAGCAAACAGGAUUAGAUACCCUGGUAGUCCACGCCGUAAACGAUGAGUGCUAGGUGUUAGACCCUUUCCGGGGUUUAGUGCCGUAGCUAACGCAUUAAGCACUCCGCCUGGGGAGUACGACCGCAAAGGUUG
This 551-nucleotide ribosomal RNA is filed under the name uncultured bacterium. RNAcentral's name for it is "bacterial SSU rRNA". It matches the Rfam family "Bacterial small subunit ribosomal RNA", at positions 355 to 896 of the family's 1533-position model. The record is from RNAcentral.